CGAUUCCACUGGUUCAUGGUAAGGGCUAUUUUUGUAAAAAAAAUAAAUUAAAAUAUCAGGUGUAACCUGACGCAACCCAUUUGUGUGGCUACCUCUAUACAUAUCACCCUACAACCGUAACCCUAAUCCUUCUUAAUCCUCCAAGCGUCGCCCACUAUCCCCACUUCCAUAUUUUUUUUCUCUCUCUAAUUUUUUUUAACACAAGAGUAAGUUCCAAUUUCUUUUCCCUCAUCCAUAUUAAUAAAGGCACCAUGGAUCACAGGCAAUUGAAAGGCAAGGGCUAGGCUGGCAUAUCAAAGUCGGCUAGGAAACGCAGCAGGUCGUCAGACCAACAGAUUAAUAGGGUACCACGUGCUCCACCAGUCCCACGUGGUCAAUCUAGGAGAUUUGGAUUUUAGGCAGUCAGACAAGUAGGUAAGAAGUGGUGUACUAAACACCUCGACACAAACUACAUACCUCAGGUAUUCAUUGAUAGGGCGAGCUUACAGCGGGAAUAUCCUAGCAUGGUUCGGCGACUGGAGCAGCUGAAAUGACCUUUGUAUUUCACCAGCCUACUGAGUGCAAUUUGCACCUUGUAUUUGAAUUUAAUGCAAAUUGGGACCCACGAGACCCACAUCAUGAGGUGAAAGUUCACAACAAAGUUAUCAGAUUUAUAGCUGCAAACAUAAAUGAUUUGCUGGGUGUAACUGAGGCUGAUGCAAACCCUUUGAGAUAAACAAGGAGGCCCGUAUAUGGGGAAGAAUCGUCUAUCAUUGCCUGGUUCAAGGGAAACACCUGAUAGAAGUUACACGUGACUAGUAUGCUUGAUUUAUGCCUUGAUGUGCAAUGAUAUUGAUAUUAAUUAGGUCAGGUGAUCUUUUCUACAAUGAAGAAGGCCAGCUACCAUAAGGGGUGCAGAUACGGCUUUAGAGUUUUUUUGACCUUUUUUUUUAGGAGGCAUAUGGUCAAGGAGGAGUUAGACUAUAAUCUAGUGGUAGAUUCUCAAACUGUUGAUGUUACUACAGCUAGGAGCACAGUUGGGGCUCUUGGCCCUGUCCUUCUGAUUUCUGAGCUCACUGCCAGAAUGUAUGGAUUGCAGAUGCUGCAGCUGAAAGUGGGGGAAAGACGUACAACUGAUGUAGAAAUUAGUGAGUUUGAGCUGGAUUAUCCCUUAGUCCAUUAUGCUAGGAUGUUGCUGAGGAUAGGGCCUGAUUUUUUUUAGCCAAUUGAUGAUGAUGUCCCCACCGAUGAGGAACGACAAUGGCAUUACUCGGAAAUUUGUCAAAUAAUGAUGAGCCGCCAGAUGAAGGCGAUGCAGAUGAUUAUGAAGAGGAUAAUGAUGUCGGUGAUGAUAUGGAUGACGCAAAUGAUAUAUGAUUGUGGCCUAAAUAGGGAGUAUUAUGCCACCUCACCAUUUGAGCUUAUUUGUAAGCACUGGGACAGUGCUUCAUUUAAGUAUGGGGUGGUUGUGUCUCGUUUCUUCUUCUCUUUAACUUUUUAUUUUGUUGGACAAUUUUUAUUUCUGUUUUGGGGAUGCUUUAAUUUUUAUUUUUCUGGUGGUAUGUUCAGCUUAGCCAUUUCUAGCAAUUCAGAACAGUAUGGAAUAGUUAGUAAUGGUUUUCUUUUAAGUUUAUAGUGUUUGUUAUUGUUGUUUCCCUUAAGGAAAUAUACACAUUUUUUCCCUCAAGGUGAAUUAAAUCAUCAUAGCUAUUUGUCCUCCUCUAUGAUAGAUGGAUGACAACCGUCUUAAGGGGAGUUAGACUUUAGAAGCUUAGAAUUUAUAAGAACCCAACCAUGACUUUUGAGAAGU
Capsicum annuum is the source of this 1789-nucleotide long non-coding RNA. RefSeq lists it as uncharacterized. The record is from RefSeq and is a predicted model, not a curated record. The transcript has 3 exons. NCBI's taxonomy places the organism in Eukaryota, Viridiplantae, Streptophyta, Magnoliopsida, Solanales, Solanaceae.